RNAcentral lists this ribosomal RNA (658 nucleotides) under uncultured bacterium. Its description in RNAcentral is "partial 16S ribosomal RNA". The record is from RNAcentral.
ACGGUUACCUUGUUACGACUUCACCCCAAUUAUCGAACCCACCUUCGGCCGCGCCCUCCUUGCGGUUAGGCUACGGACUUCGGGUGUUCCCGACUCUCAUGGUGUGACGGGCGGUGUGUACAAGGCCCGGGAACGUAUUCACCGCGGCAUGCUGAUCCGCGAUUACUAGCGAUUCCGACUUCAUGCAGUCGAGUUGCAGACUGCAAUCUGAACUGGGACGGCUUUUAGGGGUUCGCUCCACUUCGCAGUAUUGCAUCCCUCUGUUUACCGCCAUUGUAUUACGUGUGUAGCCCAGGACAUAAGGGGCAUGAUGAUUUGACGUCGUCCCCACCUUCCUCCGUUUUGUCAACGGCAGUCUCGCUAGAGUGCUCUUGCGUAGCAACUAACAAUAAGGGUUGCGCUCGUUGCGGGACUUAACCCAACAUCUCACGACACGAGCUGACGACAACCAUGCACCACCUGUCUCUGCUUUCCCCGAAGGGCACCUGACGUAUCUCUACCUCGUUAGCAGGAUGUCAAGCCCUGGUAAGGUUCUUCGCGUUGCAUCAAAUUAAACCACAUAAUCCACCGCUUGUGCGGGCCCCCGUCAAUUCCUUUGAGUUUCAACCUUGCGAUCGUACUCCCCAGGUGGGAUACUUAUUGUGUUAACUGCGGCACG